RNAcentral lists this ribosomal RNA (497 nucleotides) under uncultured bacterium. Its description in RNAcentral is "partial 16S ribosomal RNA". It matches the Rfam family "Bacterial small subunit ribosomal RNA", at positions 28 to 507 of the family's 1533-position model. The record is from RNAcentral.
GAUGAACGCUGGCGGCGUGCCUAAUACAUGCCAGUCGAGCGAACGGACGAGAAGCUUGCUUCUCUGAUGUUAGCGGCGGACGGGUGAGUAACACGUGGAUAACCUACCUAUAAGACUGGGAUAACUUCGGGAAACCGUAGCUAAUACCGGAUAAUAUUUUGAACCGCAUGGUUCAAAAGUGAAAGACGGUCUUGCUGUCACUUAUAGAUGGAUCCGCGCUGCAUUAGCUAGUUGGUAAGGUAACGGCUUACCAAGGCAACGAUGCAUAGCCGACCUGAGAGGGUGAUCGGCCACACUGGAACUGAGACACGGUCCAGACUCCUACGGGAGGCAGCAGUAGGGAAUCUUCCGCAAUGGGCGAAAGCCUGACGGAGCAACGCCGCGUGAGUGAUGAAGGUCUUCGGAUCGUAAAACUCUGUUAUUAGGGAAGAACAUAUGUGUAAGUAACUGUGCACAUCUUGACGGUACCUAAUCAGAAAGACACGGCUAACUACGUG